This 768-nucleotide ribosomal RNA is filed under the name uncultured bacterium. RNAcentral describes it as "bacterial SSU rRNA". It matches the Rfam family "Bacterial small subunit ribosomal RNA", at positions 28 to 776 of the family's 1533-position model. The record is from RNAcentral.
GACGGACGCUGGCGGCGUGCCUAAUACAUGCAAGUCGAGCGAAGUUUUUCUGGUGCUUGCACUAGAAAAACUUAGCGGCGAACGGGUGAGUAACACGUAAAAAACCUGCCUUAUAGACUGGGACAACUAUUGGAAACGAUAGCUAAUACCGGAUAACAGCAUUAACUGCAUGGUUGAUGUUUAAAAGUUGGUUUUGCUAACACUAUGAGAUGGCUUUGCGGUGCAUUAGCUAGUUGGUGGGGUAAAGGCCUACCAAGGCGACGAUGCAUAGCCGACCUGAGAGGGUGAUCGGCCACACUGGGACUGAGACACGGCCCAGACUCCUACGGGAGGCAGCAGUAGGGAAUCUUCCGCAAUGGGCGAAAGCCUGACGGAGCAACGCCGCGUGAGUGAAGAAGGAUUUCGGUUCGUAAAGCUCUGUUGUUAGGGAAGAAUGAUUGUGUAGUAACUAUACACAGUAGAGACGGUACCUAACCAGAAAGCCACGGCUAACUACGUGCCAGCAGCCGCGGUAAUACGUAGGUGGCAAGCGUUGUCCGGAAUUAUUGGGCGUAAAGCGCGCGCAGGUGGUUUAAUAAGUCUGAUGUGAAAGCCCACGGCUCAACCGUGGAGGGUCAUUGGAAACUGUUAAACUUGAGUGCAGGAGAGAAAAGUGGAAUUCCUAGUGUAGCGGUGAAAUGCGUAGAGAUUAGGAGGAACACCAGUGGCGAAGGCGGCUUUUUGGCCUGUAACUGACACUGAGGCGCGAAAGCGUGGGGAGCAAACAGG